Molecule: long non-coding RNA, 950 nt
Organism: Mastomys coucha (southern multimammate mouse)
Lineage: Eukaryota; Metazoa; Chordata; Mammalia; Rodentia; Muridae
Exons: 2
Source: RefSeq, a predicted model, not a curated record
AGACGCCCUGGGUGGGAGGGUGGACCCUGCGGCGCGGGGCCGGGCCUGUCUCCAGCGUAACGACCUGAGGCCAGGCUGGCGGCCUAGGCCCCGAGCCUCCGGACCCCGCUUGGGGCCCUGGGCCCGACUCUGGUCCUCCGCCCCGGCUUCAGAGCGAGCAGGGUCUCGGUAGGCGCGGGCGCCAAGUUCGCCGGCCUACCGGGCCUCUAGGCCAGCGCCAUUUUCUGGCACUUGUGGCUGGAUCUGUUUUCGCCAUGACUCCGCCCCAGAGCCGCCCGGGAGCCGGCCUGCACCCCCCAACCCCCACGAGGGCUGCCUGACUGCGGGGAAAGCCACAGAGUGAAACCUUCUUCACCCGCUGCCUCCAGAGCCAGGCCUGGGAGUCACAUUCGGGAGAAUCUCAGCUAAGAAAUCUGCUCCUGAUCGCCGCUUCCGCGACUCGAGGAAAUGAAACGCCAUUAAUAUUUGAAAAGGCAAUUAUUUUCCUGUUGAAUCGAAAACUGUCUUCAUGAAUAAUUUGUAGAGAGUUCUAUUGCCAUUUGAGAAACAUUUUGUUGCUGCUUUGCCUCCUCCUUUUCUUCCCAUUACUUAGGAGAUUUGAGGGAGACACCGGAACAGGGGAGGCUCUAUGGUUUUUGUUUUGUUUCUUUUUUUCCUUUUCUUUCUUUCUUUCUUUCUUUCUUUCUUUCUUUCUUUCUUUCUUUCUUUCUUUCUUUUUUUAAACCCAAUCUGUAAUGAAUUAGAACAGAGACCGAAAAGAACGCGCAGAAUUCUGCCUUGAGUCCAAGCAAACCUGAGAGCCAGCCAGGCACACUUUUGCUUCUCUGAUGUAGGUCGAUUACGCUAAGAAUUUAACCAUUUUCUGCUUCACAGACUUCAAACAGUGGGCCGGCAAAGAGCAGUAUAAGUUUGUUUGCUUCAAAAUCCCUGUCAUUAAAGAUGAGUUCUUU